This 513-nucleotide ribosomal RNA is filed under the name uncultured bacterium. RNAcentral describes it as "partial 16S ribosomal RNA". It matches the Rfam family "Bacterial small subunit ribosomal RNA", at positions 28 to 523 of the family's 1533-position model. The record is from RNAcentral.
GAUGAACGCUGGCUGUAUGCCUAAUACAUGCAAGUCGAGCGAACAGAUGAAGUGCUUGCACUUCUGACGUUAGCGGCGAACGGGUGAGUAACACGUAAGGAAUCUACCUAUAAGCGGGGGAUAACAUUCGGAAACGGGUGCUAAUACCGCAUAAUAUCUUCUUCCGCAUGGAAGAAGAUUGAAAGACGGCUCUGCUGUCACUUAUAGAUGACCUUGCGGUGCAUUAGUUAGUUGGUGGGGUAACGGCCUACCAAGACGAUGAUGCAUAGCCGACCUGAGAGGGUGAUCGGCCACAUUGGGACUGAGACACGGCCCAAACUCCUACGGGAGGCAGCAGUAGGGAAUCUUCCGCAAUGGGCGAAAGCCUGACGGAGCAAUGCCGCGUGAGUGAAGAAGGCCUUCGGGUCGUAAAACUCUGUUAUAAGAGAAGAACAAAUUGUAGAGUAACUGCUACAGUCUUGACGGUAUCUUAUCAGAAAGCCACGGCUAACUACGUGCCAGCCGCCGCCGUAA